Molecule: non-coding RNA, 45 nt
Organism: Schistosoma mansoni
Lineage: Eukaryota; Metazoa; Platyhelminthes; Trematoda; Strigeidida; Schistosomatidae
Source: Rfam
AUCCAGCUGACAAGUUGCAAAUAGGACGAAACAAACGUCCUGAAU